Molecule: transfer RNA, 68 nt
Filed under: Popillia mutans
Lineage: Eukaryota; Metazoa; Arthropoda; Insecta; Coleoptera; Scarabaeidae
Description: tRNA-Glu
Source: RNAcentral
AUUUAUAUAGUUUAAAAAAAACAUUAUUUUUUCAUAAUAAAAUUAGAACCUUUAUAUUCUUAUAAAUA